Vitis vinifera (wine grape) is the source of this 106-nucleotide ribosomal RNA. It matches the Rfam family "5.8S ribosomal RNA". Rfam says of the family: 5.8S ribosomal RNA (5.8S rRNA) is a component of the large subunit of the eukaryotic ribosome. It is transcribed by RNA polymerase I as part of the 45S precursor that also contains 18S and 28S rRNA. The record is from Rfam. NCBI's taxonomy places the organism in Eukaryota, Viridiplantae, Streptophyta, Magnoliopsida, Vitales, Vitaceae.
GACUCUCGGCAACGGAUAUCUAGGCUCUCGCAUCGAUGAAGAACGUAGCAAAAUGCGGUGGGGGGGGGGGGGGGAUUGAAGCUCUUGAAACAAAGUAAAGGAAUCA